CACGUAGGGCGCAAGCGUUGUCCGGAAUUAUUGGGCGUAAAGAGCUCGUAGGCGGACUGUCACGUCUGCUGUGAAAAGCUAGGGCUUAACCCUGGCCUUGCAGUGGAUACGGGCAGACUAGAGGUAGGUAGGGGAGAACGGAAUUCCUGGUGUAGCGGUGAAAUGCGCAGAUAUCAGGAGGAACACCGGUGGCGAAGGCGGUUCUCUGGGCCUUACCUGACGCUGAGGAGCGAAAGCAUGGGGAGCAAACAGG
RNAcentral lists this ribosomal RNA (253 nucleotides) under uncultured bacterium. Its description in RNAcentral is "partial 16S ribosomal RNA". It matches the Rfam family "Bacterial small subunit ribosomal RNA", at positions 524 to 776 of the family's 1533-position model. The record is from RNAcentral.